Molecule: transfer RNA, 76 nt
Filed under: Bradyrhizobium sp. AS23.2
Lineage: Bacteria; Pseudomonadati; Pseudomonadota; Alphaproteobacteria; Hyphomicrobiales; Nitrobacteraceae
Description: tRNA-Pro
Source: RNAcentral
CGGAGGGCAGGUGAGGGAGUGCCAGACUAGUCUGGGAGACUAGGGGUCGGAGGUUCAAAUCCUCUCGCUCCGACCA